AUGUUGCAGGAGGAUGGGGGUAUUGAUGAAGAUGUGAACCAUCGAAUCAAAGCCGGAUGGAUGAAGUGGCGCCAAGCUUCUGGCAUUCUCUGUGACAAGAGAGUGCCACAAAAGCUAAAAGGCAAGUUUUACAGGACGGAGGUUCGACCCGCAAUGUUGUAUGGUGCGGAGUGUUGGCCGACUAAAAGGCGACAUGUUCAACAGUUAGGUGUGGCGGAGAUGCGUAUGUUGAGAUGGAUGUGUGCCCACACGAGGAAGGAUCGAGUCCGGAAUGAUGAUAUACGAGAUAGAGUUGGGGUAGCACCAAUUGAGGAGAAGCUUGUCCAACAUCGUCUGAGAUGGUUUGGGCAUAUUCAGCGCAGGCCUCCAGAAGCUCCAGUGCAUAGCGGACGGCUAAAACGUGCGGAGAAUGUCAAGAGAGGGCGAGGUAGACCCAAUUUGACAUGGGAGGAGUCCGUUAAGAGAGACCUGAAGGAUUGGAGUAUUACCAAAGAGCUAGCUAUGGACAGGGGUGCGUGGAAGCUUGCUAUCCAUGUGCCAGAGCCAUGA
Molecule: ribosomal RNA, 549 nt
Filed under: Triticum aestivum (bread wheat)
Lineage: Eukaryota; Viridiplantae; Streptophyta; Magnoliopsida; Poales; Poaceae
Description: partial small subunit ribosomal RNA
Source: RNAcentral